CGGGAAGUGGGGAUGACGUCAAAUCAUCAUGCCCCUUAUGACCUGGGCUACACACGUGCUACAAUGGUUGGUACAACGAGUUGCGAGUCGGUGACGGCGAGCUAAUCUCUUAAAGCCAAUCUCAGUUCGGAUUGUAGGCUGCAACUCGCCUACAUGAAGUCGGAAUCGCUAGUAAUCGCGGAUCAGCACGCCGCGGUGAAUACGUUCCCGGGCCUU
Molecule: ribosomal RNA, 216 nt
Filed under: uncultured Streptococcus sp.
Lineage: Bacteria; Bacillati; Bacillota; Bacilli; Lactobacillales; Streptococcaceae
Description: partial 16S ribosomal RNA
Rfam family: Bacterial small subunit ribosomal RNA
Source: RNAcentral